AACGAACGCUGGCGGCAUGCCUAACACAUGCAAGUCGAACGAGACCUUCGGGUCUAGUGGCGCCCGGGUGCUUAACGCGUGGGAACCUGCCCUUAGGUUCGGAAUAACUCCCCGAAAGGGGUGCUAAUACCGGAUAAUGUCUUCGAACCAAAGAUUUAUCGCCUUUGGAUGGGCCCGCGUUGGAUUAGCUAGUUGGUAGGGUAAAAGCCUACCAAGGCGACGAUCCAUAGCUGGUCUGAGAGGAUGAUCAGCCACACUGGGACUGAGACACGGCCCAGACUCCUACGGGAGGCAGCAGUGGGGAAUAUUGGACAAUGGGCGAAAGCCUGAUCCAGCAAUGCCGCGUGAGUGAUGAAGGCCUUAGGGUUGUAAAGCUCUUUUACCCGGGAUGAUAAUGACAGUACCGGGAGAAUAAGCUCCGGCUAACUCCGUG
RNAcentral lists this ribosomal RNA (433 nucleotides) under uncultured bacterium. Its description in RNAcentral is "partial 16S ribosomal RNA". It matches the Rfam family "Bacterial small subunit ribosomal RNA", at positions 29 to 507 of the family's 1533-position model. The record is from RNAcentral.